Molecule: long non-coding RNA, 809 nt
Organism: Octopus sinensis (East Asian common octopus)
Lineage: Eukaryota; Metazoa; Mollusca; Cephalopoda; Octopoda; Octopodidae
Exons: 2
Source: RefSeq, a predicted model, not a curated record
AAACGUCGGUGCGGGACAUUGAAAUUUUGAAAUGCUAUGUUUCUCGUGAGGCGUGGUGAAUCGUAAUCUCCGCUGUUGAAAAUGUCGGAAUCUGAAAAUAAAAUGAAAAAAACACGAAAAGGAGUGGAUUGCGUGUUCGACAUCUCCGCUGUAAUUUUAUUGCUAUUUUUAGAAGCUGAACAUAGAAUAAAAAAUAAAUAAAUGCGAAAUUAAUAAGUGAGAAGUGAAUCUAGAGUAGCAUCUGUUCUUCAACCGAUUAGUUUGGUCUGUGUUCAACUGUAUCGCUUAAUAUGUUCUGUGCAAGUUCAUAAACGCCUCAUGGAAAAGUGAACGUGUCUGUUAUUGUCAUCCUGUUCCUGUCUUUUGUCACUACUUCAGAUUGAGAGAAAAGACAUAACAAAUCAAUACCUGGUAACCUCAAGAAGACAGUCAUCUGAAAAUCCUCAACAAACACUAAAGAUUAUGGAAUAAUCAAGGACAUUGGUGACUGCACUUACAACCUGGACUUUCGUACUGAAGAAUAUAUUUGUUUCUGAUUCCAUGGUGUGUUUUAUUUGGAUAUCUGUUGAUAAUCAGAACUACUUUAAGAAUCUUUUAUUUGAUGGUUUCUAACUAAAGAACAAACUAAUUAAUAUCAAAGUAAUUAUGCUACAACCAACCUAUCCUGAAGUGUUCCUUCAUAGCUAAGAAAUCCUCGGAUUUUGACAAAUGACACUAUUUAUUGUGAAAGAAAAUAUAAGUCUAAUAUCAGUUUUAUCAAAAAAAAAAAAAUUUUGAGAUGGAGUGUUCUCUUUAGUUAUGACAAUAUC